ACGAACGCUGGCGGCGUGCUUAACACAUGCAAGUCGAACGGAAAGGCCCCUUUGGGGGUACUCGAGUGGCGAACGGGUGAGUAACACGUGAGUAACCUGCCCUUGACUUCGGGAUAACUUCAGGAAACUGGGGCUAAUACCGGAUAGGAAUCCUUGCUGCAUGGUGGGGGUUGGAAAGCUUCGGCGGUUUUGGAUGGACUCGCGGCUUAUCAGCUUGUUGGUGGGGUAGUGGCUUACCAAGGCUUUGACGGGUAGCCGGCCUGAGAGGGCGACCGGCCACAUUGGGACUGAGAUACGGCCCAGACUCCUACGGGAGGCAGCAGGGGGGAAUAUUGCACAAUGGGCGGAAGCCUGAUGCAGCAACGCCGCGUGCGGGAGGACGGCCUUCGGGUUGUAAACCGCUUUCAGCAGGGGCGAAGCUUGUGGUGACGGUACCUGCAGAAGAAGCACCGGCUAACUACGUG
This 464-nucleotide ribosomal RNA is filed under the name uncultured bacterium. RNAcentral's name for it is "partial 16S ribosomal RNA". It matches the Rfam family "Bacterial small subunit ribosomal RNA", at positions 29 to 507 of the family's 1533-position model. The record is from RNAcentral.